This 253-nucleotide ribosomal RNA is filed under the name uncultured bacterium. Its description in RNAcentral is "partial 16S ribosomal RNA". It matches the Rfam family "Bacterial small subunit ribosomal RNA", at positions 524 to 776 of the family's 1533-position model. The record is from RNAcentral.
UACGGAGGGUGCAAGCGUUAUCCGGAUUUACUGGGCUUAAAGGGUGCGUAGGCGGAAUUAUAAGUCAGAGGUGAAAGCCCCGAGCUCAACUUGGGAACUGCCAUUGAUACUGUUUUUCUUGAGUGUGGUUGAAGUGGGCGGAAUUUGACAUGUAGCGGUGAAAUGCUUAGAUAUGUCGUAGAACACCGAUUGCGAAGGCUGCUCACUAAACCAUUACUGACGCUGAGGUACGAAAGCGUGGGGAGCGAACAGG